UGAGGCAGGAGAAUUGCUUGAACCCAGGAAGUGGAGGUUGCAGUGAGCCAAGAUCAUGCCACUGCACUCCCAGCCUGGGUGACAGAGCGAGACUCCAUCUCA
RNAcentral lists this microRNA precursor (102 nucleotides) under Gorilla gorilla gorilla (western lowland gorilla). RNAcentral describes it as "miRNA (ENSGGOG00000037861.1)". The record is from RNAcentral. Lineage: Eukaryota; Metazoa; Chordata; Mammalia; Primates; Hominidae.